UACGAAGGGGGCAAGCGUUGUUCGGAAUGACUGGGCGUAAAGGGCGCGUAGGCGGUGCGUUGCGUCAGAUGUGAAAUCCCCGGGCUCAACCUGGGAAUUGCAUUUGAUACUCUGGAGCUUGAGUACGGGAGAGGAGAGUGGAAUUCCCAGUGUAGAGGUGAAAUUCGUAGAUAUUGGGAAGAACACCGGUGGCGAAGGCGGCUCUCUGGACCGUAACUGACGCUGAGGCGCGAAAGCGUGGGGAGCAAACAGG
RNAcentral lists this ribosomal RNA (253 nucleotides) under uncultured bacterium. Its description in RNAcentral is "partial 16S ribosomal RNA". It matches the Rfam family "Bacterial small subunit ribosomal RNA", at positions 524 to 776 of the family's 1533-position model. The record is from RNAcentral.